AACAUUUGGUUCUUUCGUCUUGUCCCGUUUUGUUGUGAAACGUUGUGACGAGUCCUAGAAUCAUUCUGGUUGAAAGCGCUUCUGCCCUUUAUUGGGUUGGUCGUGUGAUCUGCCUCUUUUACUGUGAGAAAAACAAAGUGCUCAAAGCAGGCUUUACAGCUUGAAUGCGUUAGCAUGGAAUAAUAAGAUAGGACUUUGUUUCUAUUUUGUUGGCUCUGAGGAACAAAGUAAUGAUUGAUAGGGAUAGUUGGGGGUGCUCGUAUUUAACGGUCAGCGGUGAAAUGCAUGGACCCGUUAAAGACGAACCUAUGCGAAAGCAUU
This 321-nucleotide ribosomal RNA is filed under the name uncultured Leptophryidae. Its description in RNAcentral is "SSU rRNA". It matches the Rfam family "Eukaryotic small subunit ribosomal RNA", at positions 632 to 955 of the family's 1831-position model. The record is from RNAcentral. Lineage: Eukaryota; Endomyxa; Vampyrellida; Leptophryidae.